Molecule: non-coding RNA, 2017 nt
Organism: Leptonychotes weddellii (Weddell seal)
Lineage: Eukaryota; Metazoa; Chordata; Mammalia; Carnivora; Phocidae
Source: RefSeq, a predicted model, not a curated record
GUCCACACACAUCUGUCUCUCAUUGGAGACCUGAAGUGAGUCACUUCCUUUCCCAGACCCUCAGAUUCCCCGUUUGUCCUCCUGGGGCAACAGAUAAAGAGAGGUUUCUGCUGCUCUGUUCCUGCCCUGUGGCCCAGCACACCCUUUUCAGGAACAGCUCCUGAGUGAACAGCCUCAGAUGCCCCAUCUCCUAGCCCCCUGGGGCUGCCAGGGCCUCAUUUCUCCCCUUCCCUCUGCCAGUUCCAAUCUUUCUAGUGCCGCGUACAUGACGUUGAGCAGAGCACGCCGUAGACAUACGAAAACACGGAGAUCAGAACGGCCCCGUAGCUUGCAGCCAGCUUGCGGAGUGCCUCAGGAAGGCGUCGAUGGACGGCCUCCUGGCCCCUUGGCCCCCGCUCCCAUGCAAACACCAGUCCUGAACGUGCGCUCACUGUUGAUAGUGGGAGUUUACUAUUCCCAUGCAUGAGCCACAUAUUUCUUCAAAGUCGGGGAAGAAAAGGUGUUUUUUUUUUUUAAAGAAAGAAAAUCGACUUUAUACUCCAUCCACUCCAGCAACAGUUCUCAGAUGUCUGGGGCUGUGGGACAGUGAAAUACCCACAUUCAUUUGGGGCACUUUGUAAGGACUCUUCAUUUUUCCGAGUAAGAACAUGAAAAAAAAAUCCCACGAAAGUAUCCCCUGCCAUCACGGUGGCUUCAUGGAAGAAAGGACAUUUAAUAUGGAAAAUACAGAAAGAGCGUGUUCUCAGAAUUUUAAACACGGCAUACAUUUAGGCUAGUCGAAAAAUUCUUUAUUUUUCCUGUUUCCACACAGAGCCUGGAAACCUUCACCUUGGGCCAGCUUGGCAUUUAGGACUCACUCAUUUAGAAACUCAGACCUCUGUGACUACGUCUGGAAGGGGACAGGGACUUUCUGGAGAGAACCACCCCCGUCCUGGACCCAGAGAGUAUUUCUGCCGCUCCUUCCGUCACCACACCAGAUGGAGUCUCGGGAGGGACAGACCUAUGCCCACGGGCACCCAGUAACUGCGGAAGGAGCCACAGUUCUGAACGUGAAUCCAUAUGGAAAUGCCUCCCUCACCCUCCCCACCAGGCCUCCUGCCGCAACAGAUAAGCGGCCAGUCAGCUGCACGGGGCCAGCGUCAGGGAUCGCUGCUCCCAAGUGACCAACAAACAGCACGGGGCGUCUGAGAGUUGAACUCAGGGCUGGGAAGGGGGGGAGCAACACGGCAUGCGUCACCAAAACCUAAUCCAGCUUGAUGAAGCCUCCUUCUUCCUCUGCAGCCCCGGUGUAGAGCCCCGGCCCAUCUCUUUGGAAGGAGCAGGAGGGAGCUGGGGACACCUCACAUCCACAGGUGUGUCCUCAUGGGGCCGCACCUCUCGCCAGGCUCCCUGUGUGUUGGGACAAGGGUGUCCAUCAGGGAUGAGUCUGAGGCUGAGAGAUGGUCACUUGCUCGGCGCCCCACCGCUGAGCCCUGUGGCCGAGUAAGAAGCGUGCACAGGAAGACAAGUGAGAAGAAUGCCCCACAUCAGCCUGUGGGGUGUCUGUCUCCCCCCAGCUGAGUGUGAGGGAGACCAGGAAAGGCUGCCUACCGAGGGGCACAGAAGAACCACAGCUGAGUGGCGGGGGGACCCAGGUUGGCUGAGAAAGGAGCCCCUUGAGCCAACAAGAACAGAGAGGAUGUGGCCAGGCAGAGCAGAGACCAGCAGUGUGGCUGGAGAAAGCCGGGGGCCUUCCUGGGGUCACCUGUCGGAGGUCAGCUCUCCUGCCCAGGACCCCCUCCCUCUCCGGCCCCUCUCAGUUUAUCUCCCUGACCCUGCUGCCAGGGAUACUCGGACUUCUCCCAGUGAGAGCAGCUGCAGUCCUGGAGGCAAAGAGGGUGCCCUGGGUUCAGGAGGCAACAGGGAGGAAGCAGCCUCCCCCCGCACCCCUGGCAGGAGGGGUCCCAGAGGCCGUCCCCACAGGCAGCAGGCCCCGCUGCCCCAGGGAGUCCUUACUCCCCACUGCUCCUGCAGUAGC